AGUGAACGCUGGCGGUAGGCCUAACACAUGCAAGUCGAACGGCAGCACAGUAAUAGCUUGCUCUUACGGGUGGCGAGUGGCGGACGGGUGAGGAAUACAUCGUAAUCUACUUUUUCGUGGGGGAUAACGUAGGGAAACUUACGCUAAUACCGCAUACGACCUACGGGUGAAAGCAGGGGAUCUUCUGACCUUGCGCGAUUGAAUGAGCCGAUGUCGGAUUAGCUAGUUGGCGGGGUAAAGGCCCACCAAGGCGACGAUCCGUAGCUGGUCUGAGAGGAUGAUAAGCCAAACUGGAACUGAGACACGGUCCAGACUCCUACGGGAGGCAGCAGUGGGGAAUAUUGGACAAUGGGCGCAAGCCUGAUCCAGCCAUACCGCGUGGGUGAAGAAGGCCUUCGGGUUGUAAAGCCCUUUUGUUGGGAAAGAAAAGCAGCAGGUUAAUACCCCGCUGUUCUGACGGUACCCAAAGAAUAAGCACCGGCUAACUUCGUG
This 492-nucleotide ribosomal RNA is filed under the name uncultured bacterium. RNAcentral's name for it is "partial 16S ribosomal RNA". It matches the Rfam family "Bacterial small subunit ribosomal RNA", at positions 29 to 507 of the family's 1533-position model. The record is from RNAcentral.